This 407-nucleotide ribosomal RNA is filed under the name uncultured bacterium. RNAcentral's name for it is "partial 16S ribosomal RNA". It matches the Rfam family "Bacterial small subunit ribosomal RNA", at positions 28 to 526 of the family's 1533-position model. The record is from RNAcentral.
GACGAACGCUGGCGGCGUGCCUAAUACAUGCAAGUAGGACGCAGUUGCGAACGGGUGAGUAACGCGUAGGUAACUACCUAUUAGAGGGGGAUAACUAUUGGAAACGAUAGCUAAUACCGCAUACUAGUAGAUGGACCUGCGUUGUCUUAGCUAGUAGGUAGGGUAAUGGCCUACCUAGGCAACGAUUCAUAGCCGACCUGAGUGGGUGUGCGGUCACACUGCGACUGGGACACCGCCCAGACUCCUACGGGGAGCAGCAGUAGGGAAUCUUCGGCAAUGGGGUGAACCCUGACCGAGAAAUGCCGCGUGAGGGAAGAAGGUUCUCGGAUCGUAAAGCUCUGUUGUUAAGGAAGCGGUACUUAACCAGAAAGGGACGGCUAACUACGUGCCAGCAGCCGCGGUAAUAC